CAAGCUCAAACUACCACUGGCCACCUU
This 27-nucleotide non-coding RNA is filed under the name Homo sapiens (human). The record is from RNAcentral. Lineage: Eukaryota; Metazoa; Chordata; Mammalia; Primates; Hominidae.